This 63-nucleotide small nuclear RNA is filed under the name Phascolarctos cinereus (koala). The record is from RNAcentral. Lineage: Eukaryota; Metazoa; Chordata; Mammalia; Diprotodontia; Phascolarctidae.
GGAAGAUUAGCAUGGACCCUGCUCAAGGAUGAUACUUAAAUUUAAGAAAUGCUCUACGUAUUU